This 395-nucleotide long non-coding RNA is filed under the name Setaria viridis. RNAcentral describes it as "long non-coding RNA (SVIR_LNC004516)". The record is from RNAcentral. Lineage: Eukaryota; Viridiplantae; Streptophyta; Magnoliopsida; Poales; Poaceae.
CUCACUCAACUAUACGAACUACUAGUGUAUACUAUAAACAUACACGGGAGCACUCAAGCCUAAACUAUAAUAGGAAGGGUAUAAGACUAGCAUACGAGCAUAUAAACCAAGCAUAUAAACAUAGAAAGGGAAUAAGACUACUCAUGCAACCAAGUAUAACACUAUAGAAAGGAAUCACAACUACUAGCUUACUACACUACGAAGGAAGCCAGCAUCCGAAGAGGUACAAGCUAGGAGGAGAGUGCCGACACCCGGGCACUCCUCUUAAACACUCCUCACUCUCUCCCUACUCUAAGCACUAGCUAGGCAGCGCUUUGCCAUGGAGCUCUUCUUUUGAUAGGAAUGGAAGUGAAGUUCACCCAAGGUGGUGGUGUGUUCUCAAAUGAGACUCCUCC